Molecule: ribosomal RNA, 460 nt
Filed under: uncultured bacterium
Lineage: Bacteria
Description: partial 16S ribosomal RNA
Rfam family: Bacterial small subunit ribosomal RNA
Source: RNAcentral
CCUACGGGGGGCAGCAGUGAGGAAUAUUGGUCAAUGGGCGGGAGCCUGAACCAGCCAAGUCGCGUGAGGGAAGACGGUCCUAUGGAUCGUAAACCUCUUUAGGCGGGGAGCAAUGCCGGGCACGUGUGCCCGGAGGGAGAGUACCCGCAGAAUAAGCAUCGGCUAACUCCGUGCCAGCAGCCGCGGUAAUACGGAGGAUGCGAGCGUUAUCCGGAUUUAGUGGGUUUAAAGGGUGCGUAGGCGGAUUUUUAAGUCAGCGGUAAAAUGUCCGGGCUCAACCCGGGCCGGCCGUUGAAACUGGGGAUCUUGAGUGGGCGAGAAGUAUGCGGAAUGCGUGGUGUAGCGGUGAAAUGCAUAGAUAUCACGCAGAACUCCGAUUGCGAAGGCAGCAUACCGGCGCCCGACUGACGCUGAGGCACGAAAGCGUGGGGAUCGAACAGGAUUAGAUACCCUGGUAGUC